This 509-nucleotide ribosomal RNA is filed under the name Eirenis collaris. RNAcentral describes it as "partial 16S ribosomal RNA". It matches the Rfam family "Bacterial large subunit ribosomal RNA", at positions 1816 to 2597 of the family's 2925-position model. Lineage: Eukaryota; Metazoa; Chordata; Lepidosauria; Squamata; Colubridae. The record is from RNAcentral.
AACCUUUAGACAAACAAAUAUUAAAGGCAACGCCUGCCCAGUGAAUAAUUAAACGGCCGCGGUACCCUAACCGUGCAAAGGUAGCGUAAUCAUUUGUCUACUAAUUAUAGACCAGUAUGAAAGGCAAAAUGAGGGUCUAACUGUCUCUUAUAAUAAAUCAAUGAAACUGAUCUCCUAGUAAAAAAGCUAGAAUUUUCCCAUAAGACCAGAAGACCCUGUGAAGCUUAAACUAAACUAUUAAAACACAUAAUAGCUACUUUCGGUUGGGGCGACCUUGGAAAAAAAAAGAACUUCCAAACACCACGAGCCAUACCUCGCACAACUCAGGCCAACAAGCCACAAAAGACCCAGCACAGCUGAAAAAUGAACCAAGUUACUCCAGGGAUAACAGCGCAAUCUUCUUCAAGAGCCCAUAUCAAAAAGAAGGUUUACGACCUCGAUGUUGGAUCAGGACAUCCUAAUGGUGCAGCCGCUAUUAAGGGUUCGUUUGUUCAACGAUUAAUAGUCCU